RNAcentral lists this transfer RNA (71 nucleotides) under Clypeasterophilus stebbingi. RNAcentral describes it as "tRNA-Leu". Lineage: Eukaryota; Metazoa; Arthropoda; Malacostraca; Decapoda; Pinnotheridae. The record is from RNAcentral.
UUUAGGAUCCUAUAAAAUAGGUUUAUCCUAUAGAUAACUAAGUAAAUGAAUCUAAUUACUUUGUGAUUUUA